This 67-nucleotide transfer RNA is filed under the name Ictidomys tridecemlineatus (thirteen-lined ground squirrel). RNAcentral's name for it is "Spermophilus tridecemlineatus (thirteen-lined ground squirrel) tRNA". It matches the Rfam family "tRNA". From Rfam's summary of the family: Transfer RNA (tRNA) molecules are approximately 80 nucleotides in length. Their secondary structure includes four short double-helical elements and three loops (D, anti-codon, and T loops). The record is from Rfam by way of RNAcentral. Lineage: Eukaryota; Metazoa; Chordata; Mammalia; Rodentia; Sciuridae.
GGUAGUGGCUCAGUGGUAGAGCACUAGCCUAGCAUGUUUGAGGCCCUGGGUUUGAUCCUCAGCACCA